Molecule: ribosomal RNA, 465 nt
Filed under: Vreelandella stevensii
Lineage: Bacteria; Pseudomonadati; Pseudomonadota; Gammaproteobacteria; Oceanospirillales; Halomonadaceae
Description: partial 16S ribosomal RNA
Rfam family: Bacterial small subunit ribosomal RNA
Source: RNAcentral
CCUACGGGCGGCAGCAGUGGGGAAUAUUGGACAAUGGGCGAAAGCCUGAUCCAGCCAUGCCGCGUGUGUGAAGAAGGCCUUCGGGUUGUAAAGCACUUUCAGUGGGGAAGAAAGCCUUGGGGCUAAUACCCUCGAGGAAGGACAUCACCCACAGAAGAAGCACCGGCUAACUCCGUGCCAGCAGCCGCGGUAAUACGGAGGGUGCGAGCGUUAAUCGGAAUUACUGGGCGUAAAGCGCGCGUAGGCGGUCUGAUAAGCCGGUUGUGAAAGCCCCGGGCUCAACCUGGGAACGGCAUCCGGAACUGUCAGGCUAGAGUGCAGGAGAGGAAGGUAGAAUUCCCGGUGUAGCGGUGAAAUGCGUAGAGAUCGGGAGGAAUACCAGUGGCGAAGGCGGCCUUCUGGACUGACACUGACGCUGAGGUGCGAAAGCGUGGGUAGCAAACAGGAUAAGAUACCCCAGUAGUC